GAGUUUCGUUUCUCCCUCUCACCUCAUAUUCUUCUUCCUCCAAGCUUCUCCUUGUUUCAGAUUUCGCAGGUACUGGCGGGUGAAGGUAGUAUAGCACGGCGGAUAGAUCCAGGGUUUCAGAAAUUGAAACUCGGAUCUCUUCUUCUUCUUCUUGCUUCAAGUUUGUUCGUUCGUCCCCCUCUGUAUACUGUUUUGUUUUCUUGCUGCAAUUUUUUAGUCUCUCCUGUACUGUUUUUUAUCCUCGCCAAUCAAUAUUUUCUUUAUGAUGACAACCGCCGUUGUUAUUACGAAUCUGAAUUCCAUUUGCUCCAGAACGGACUCAAAUUUAAUUUGCCAUCUCCA
Non-coding RNA from Vicia faba (fava bean), 342 nucleotides. NCBI's taxonomy places the organism in Eukaryota, Viridiplantae, Streptophyta, Magnoliopsida, Fabales, Fabaceae. The record is from the annotation of a GenBank genome assembly.